This 253-nucleotide ribosomal RNA is filed under the name uncultured bacterium. RNAcentral describes it as "partial 16S ribosomal RNA". It matches the Rfam family "Bacterial small subunit ribosomal RNA", at positions 524 to 776 of the family's 1533-position model. The record is from RNAcentral.
UACAGAGGUCUCAAGCGUUGUUCGGAUUCAUUGGGCGUAAAGAGCUCGUAGGCGGUUCGUCGCGUCGGCUGUGAAAUCCCGAGGCUCAACCUCGGGUCUGCAGUCGAUACGGGCGGACUGGAGUUCGGCAGGGGAGACUGGAAUUCCUGGUGUAGCGGUGAAAUGCGCAGAUAUCAGGAGGAACACCGGUGGCGAAGGCGGGUCUCUGGGCCGAUACUGACGCUGAGGAGCGAAAGCGUGGGGAGCGAACAGG